Molecule: long non-coding RNA, 914 nt
Organism: Salmo salar (Atlantic salmon)
Lineage: Eukaryota; Metazoa; Chordata; Actinopteri; Salmoniformes; Salmonidae
Source: RefSeq, a predicted model, not a curated record
UAUUCAUGUGCUGUUGUGAGUGUGCUCAGGGUUUUGUUCACUUACAUCUGGUUGUCUUGAAUCACAGAGUUGCAGGACUGAGAUGAAAAGCCUAUUUGUUUGGCUUGAUAGCUAGCUAGCUAGGGUAUUUGGAUUUAAAUAAUGCAGCACUGGCUUUUUUUGUUUCAUUUGCUGAGAAUGACAACAACAACUACAUGCAGUGUCCGGGGAUAGCAGAGAAGGGACUGUUCCUAACCAGUCGAUGUGUGAUGGCUUUUCAACGGUUUUUCAGCAGCCGUGGCAUCACCCAAGUGGGUGCCACAUUUUCAACAAUGGAUGACCAGUACCUGUGGAGGAACCGCUCCUGUGGAGUAACUGAAUGUCGGAGAAGCAGGUGUGGUGCACUGACAAAGAGCUCAGGGCCUGUUUUGUCAGACUGUCUUUGUUUCUCUCUGGCUGUACCAUCGAUGCCCCUUCCACUCAAGCUAUACUGCCUUUCCAGCCACUGCCUCAACUCCAUUUCCAUCACCCGAAACCGACUGCUAGAAAGACUUUUCAAUCUUCAUCGCCAUCAAAGAGGACCACUUUUCUUUUAGGGACCACAAUGGAAAUAAGUCUCUAACUUGUUUGAGAUGUCCCUGUCACGUUUUUAAAAUCAAAAACCAAAGUCUGCAUGAAGGUAACAGCGCUCACUGUUGCCCCCAGUGGCCAGUUUCAACAUCAUCUCCCGAUGUCCUCUGAAAUGGAUGGAUGUCGAAUACUGAUUUGUAUCAUACGUAACCUGCUUGCUGUCACACACUGUGCUAUUCUCCUUCUCUGAUCUCUCCCCCUCUCCAGCCAUCUGUGCUAAAAACCAAUUAACCAUCACCAUCAUUAUACAUUAUGAGCACCACUAAUCUUCUGGCAACGUGCCUAAUAAACCAUACAGAAUUACA